This 291-nucleotide ribosomal RNA is filed under the name uncultured bacterium. RNAcentral's name for it is "partial 16S ribosomal RNA". It matches the Rfam family "Bacterial small subunit ribosomal RNA", at positions 773 to 1060 of the family's 1533-position model. The record is from RNAcentral.
GUGGAUUAGAUACCCUGGUAGUCCACGCCGUAAACGAUGUUCACUAGGUGUUGGGGGUAUUGACCCCCUCAGUGCCGGAGCUAACGCAUUAAGUGAACCGCCUGGGGAGUACGGUCGCAAGACUAAAACUCAAAGGAAUUGACGGGGGCCCGCACAAGCGGUGGAGCAUGUGGUUUAAUUCGAUGCAACGCGAAGAACCUUACCUGGGCUUGACAUCCCGGGAAUCCCUUGGAAACAGGGGAGUGCCUUUCGGGGAACCCGGAGACAGGUGCUGCAUGGCCGUCGCCAACU